GUGGAUGUAGCUCAGCCGGUAGAGCUCCGGAUUGUGGAUCCGGCGGUCGCGGGUUCAAGUCCCGUCAUCCACCCCA
This 76-nucleotide transfer RNA is filed under the name Thermoleophilia bacterium. RNAcentral's name for it is "tRNA-His". It matches the Rfam family "tRNA". Rfam says of the family: Transfer RNA (tRNA) molecules are approximately 80 nucleotides in length. Their secondary structure includes four short double-helical elements and three loops (D, anti-codon, and T loops). Further hydrogen bonds mediate the characteristic L-shaped molecular structure. tRNAs have two regions of fundamental functional importance: the anti-codon, which is responsible for specific mRNA codon recognition, and the 3' end, to which the tRNAs corresponding amino acid is attached (by aminoacyl-tRNA synthetases). tRNAs cope with the degeneracy of the genetic code in two manners: having more than one tRNA (with a specific anti-codon) for a particular amino acid; and 'wobble' base-pairing, i.e. permitting non-standard base-pairing at the 3rd anti-codon position. The record is from RNAcentral. Lineage: Bacteria; Bacillati; Actinomycetota; Thermoleophilia.